RNAcentral lists this non-coding RNA (172 nucleotides) under uncultured Dysosmobacter sp. Its description in RNAcentral is "malK-I RNA". It matches the Rfam family "malK-I RNA". Lineage: Bacteria; Bacillati; Bacillota; Clostridia; Eubacteriales; Oscillospiraceae. The record is from RNAcentral.
GGCCGCUACUCCAUUCCCAUAGCGUCCGGCCAGCCAUAAAAAAGGAGGAGAUCAAAUCCGCCGGCCGGCGGUGCGGCAGUGUGGAGACCUGCCGCAACGCGAUAGAGGUUUCGCUCUUCUAUCGUGAGGGAGUUCCCGCGGAGGCGGGGCUCUUACGGUCAUACAUAUGGCA